GGCGAACGCUGGCGGCGUGCCUAAUACAUGCAAGUAGAACGCUGAAGAGAGGAGCUUGCUCUUCUUGGAUGAGUUGCGAACGGGUGAGUAACGCGUAGGUAACCUGCCUGGUAGCGGGGGAUAACUAUUGGAAACGAUAGCUAAUACCGCAUAAAAUUGAUUAUUGCAUGAUAAUUAAUUGAAAGAUGCAAUUGCAUCACUACCAGAUGGACCUGCGUUGUAUUAGCUAGUUGGUGAGGUAACGGCUCACCAAGGCGACGAUACAUAGCCGACCUGAGAGGGUGAUCGGCCACACUGGGACUGAGACACGGCCCAGACUCCUACGGGAGGCAGCAGUAGGGAAUCUUCGGCAAUGGGGGGAACCCUGACCGAGCAACGCCGCGUGAGUGAAGAAGGUUUUCGGAUCGUAAAGCUCUGUUGUAAGAGAAGAACGGGUGUGAGAGUGGAAAGUUCACACUGUGACGGUAUCUUACCAGAAAGGGACGGCUAACUACGUGCCAGCAGCCGCGGUAAUACGUAGGUCCCGAGCGUUGUCCGGAUUUAUUGGGCGUAAAGCGAGCGCAGGCGGUUAGAUAAGUCUGAAGUUAAAGGCUGUGGCUUAACCAUAGUAUGCUUUGGAAACUGUUUAACUUGAGUGCAGAAGGGGAGAGUGGAAUUCCAUGUGUAGCGGUGAAAUGCGUAGAUAUAUGGAGGAACACCGGUGGCGAAAGCGGCUCUCUGGUCUGUAACUGACGCUGAGGCUCGAAAGCGUGGGGAGCAAACAGGAUUAGAUACCCUGGUAGUCCACGCCGUAAACGAUGAGUGCUAGGUGUUAGGCCCUUUCCGGGGCUUAGUGCCGCAGCUAACGCAUUAAGCACUCCGCCUGGGGAGUACGACCGCAAGGUUGAAACUCAAAGGAAUUGACGGGGGCCCGCACAAGCGGUGGAACAUGUGGUUUAAUUCGAAGCAACGCGAAGAACCUUACCAGGUCUUGACAUCCCUCUGACCGCUCUAGAGAUAGAGUUUUCCUUCGGGACAGAGGUGACAGGUGGUGCAUGGUUGUCGUCAGCUCGUGUCGUGAGAUGUUGGGUUAAGUCCCGCAACGAGCGCAACCCCUAUUGUUAGUUGCCAUCAUUCAGUUGGGCACUCUAGCGAGACUGCCGGUAAUAAACCGGAGGAAGGUGGGGAUGACGUCAAAUCAUCAUGCCCCUUAUGACCUGGGCUACACACGUGCUACAAUGGCUGGUACAACGAGUCGCAAGCCGGUGACGGCAAGCUAAUCUCUGAAAGCCAGUCUCAGUUCGGAUUGUAGGCUGCAACUCGCCUACAUGAAGUCGGAAUCGCUAGUAAUCGCGGAUCAGCACGCCGCGGUGAAUACGUUCCCGGGCCU
RNAcentral lists this ribosomal RNA (1369 nucleotides) under uncultured bacterium. RNAcentral's name for it is "bacterial SSU rRNA". It matches the Rfam family "Bacterial small subunit ribosomal RNA", at positions 28 to 1381 of the family's 1533-position model. The record is from RNAcentral.